GAAGAUGUUGAUGAAGAGGAUGAAUUUCGCAUUGGAGAUUGGGAAGAAGAUGGAGAACAGAGUCCACAAACAACGAAAUAUUACAUCCACAUAUGGUGGCAUAUCAUCAUCAUCAAGUACAUACUGCUACGUAGCAAAAUUUAUUCUAUGUACAAAAAUUCAUGUAAUGGUGACAGAAACUUUGACUGUUAUCAAAAUGAGAUUUCUGCUUUU
Long non-coding RNA from Rosa chinensis, 213 nucleotides. RefSeq lists it as uncharacterized. The transcript has 2 exons. The record is from RefSeq and is a predicted model, not a curated record. NCBI's taxonomy places the organism in Eukaryota, Viridiplantae, Streptophyta, Magnoliopsida, Rosales, Rosaceae.